Molecule: ribosomal RNA, 494 nt
Filed under: Cryptosporidium ubiquitum
Lineage: Eukaryota; Apicomplexa; Conoidasida; Eucoccidiorida; Cryptosporidiidae
Description: SSU rRNA
Rfam family: Eukaryotic small subunit ribosomal RNA
Source: RNAcentral
AUGACGGGUAACGGGGAAUUAGGGUUCGAUUCCGGAGAGGGAGCCUGAGAAACGGCUACCACAUCUAAGGAAGGCAGCAGGCGCGCAAAUUACCCAAUCCUAAUACAGGGAGGUAGUGACAAGAAAUAACAAUACAGGACUUUAAAUAGUUUUGUAAUUGGAAUGAGUUAAGUAUAAACCCCUUUACAAGUAUCAAUUGGAGGGCAAGUCUGGUGCCAGCAGCCGCGGUAAUUCCAGCUCCAAUAGCGUAUAUUAAAGUUGUUGCAGUUAAAAAGCUCGUAGUUGGAUUUCUGUUAAUAAUUUAUAUAUAAUAUUUUAUUAAUAUUUAUAUAGUAUUAACAUAAUUCAUAUUACUAUAUUUUAUAGUAUAUGAAAUUUUACUUUGAGAAAAUUAGAGUGCUUAAAGCAGGCAUUAGCCUUGAAUACUCCAGCAUGGAAUAAUAUAAAAGAUUUUUAUCUUUUUUAUUGGUUCUAAGAUAAAAAUAAUGAUUAAU